CAGCAGCCGCGGUAAUACGAAGGGUGCAGGCGUUAAUCGGAAUUACUGGGCGUAAAGCGUGCGUAGGCGGUGAGUUAAGUCUGCUGUGAAAUCCCCGGGCUCAACCUGGGAAUGGCAGUGGAUACUGGCUCGCUAGAGUGUGUCAGAGGAUGGUGGAAUUCCCGGUGUAGCGGUGAAAUGCGUAGAGAUCGGGAGGAACAUCAGUGGCGAAGGCGGCCAUCUGGGACAACACUGACGCUGAGGCACGAAAGCGUGGGGAGCAAACAGGAUUAGAUACCCGCGUAGUCCCUGUCUCUUAUAC
This 301-nucleotide ribosomal RNA is filed under the name uncultured bacterium. RNAcentral's name for it is "partial 16S ribosomal RNA". It matches the Rfam family "Bacterial small subunit ribosomal RNA", at positions 509 to 807 of the family's 1533-position model. The record is from RNAcentral.